RNAcentral lists this ribosomal RNA (732 nucleotides) under cyanobacterium cCLA-4. RNAcentral describes it as "bacterial SSU rRNA". It matches the Rfam family "Bacterial small subunit ribosomal RNA", at positions 20 to 796 of the family's 1533-position model. Lineage: Bacteria; Bacillati; Cyanobacteriota. The record is from RNAcentral.
UGGCUCAGGAUGAACGCUGGCGGUAUGCUUAACACAUGCAAGUCGAACGGUCCUUUCGGGGAUAGUGGCGGACGGGUGAGUAACGCGUGAGAAUCUGCCUUCAGGACGGGGACAACAGCUGGAAACGGUUGCUAAUACCCGAUGUGCCCUUGGGUGAAAUAUUUAUAGCCUGAAGAUGAGCUCGCGUCUGAUUAGCUAGUUGGUAAGGUAAAGGCUUACCAAGGCGACGAUCAGUAACUGGUCUGAGAGGAUGACCAGUCACACUGGGACUGAGACACGGCCCAGACUCCUACGGGAGGCAGCAGUGGGGAAUUUUCCGCAAUGGGCGCAAGCCUGACGGAGCAAUACCGCGUGAGGGAGGAAGGCUCUUGGGUCGUAAACCUCUUUUAUCAGGGAAGAACACAAUGACGGUACCUGAUGAAUCAGCAUCGGCUAACUCUGUGCCAGCAGCCGCGGUAAUACAGAGGAUGCAAGCGUUAUCCGGAAUUAUUGGGCGUAAAGCGUCCGCAGGUGGUUUUGAAAGUUUGCUGUCAAAGCGCGAGGCUCAACUUCGUACCGGCGGUGAAAACUUCAAGACUAGAGUUUGGUAGGGGUCACGGGAAUUCCCAGUGUAGCGGUGAAAUGCGUAGAUAUUGGGAAGAACACCAGCGGCGAAAGCGCGUGACUGGGCCUGAACUGACACUCAUGGACGAAAGCUAGGGGAGCGAAAGGGAUUAGAUACCCCUGUAGUCC